Molecule: ribosomal RNA, 253 nt
Filed under: uncultured bacterium
Lineage: Bacteria
Description: partial 16S ribosomal RNA
Rfam family: Bacterial small subunit ribosomal RNA
Source: RNAcentral
UACGAAGGGGGCUAGCGUUGCUCGGAAUGACUGGGCGUAAAGGGCGCGUAGGCGGACUGCACAGUCAGGCGUGAAAUUACUGGGCUUAACCUGGGGACUGCGUCUGAGACGUGUGAUCUAGAGUGAGGAAGAGGGUCGUGGAAUUUCCAGUGUAGAGGUGAAAUUCGUAGAUAUUGGAAAUAACACCGGUGGCGCAGGCGGCGACCUGGUCCUUGACUGACGCUGAGGAGCGAAAGCGUGGGGAGCAAACAGG